UACAGAGGUCCCAAGCGUUGUUCGGAUUCACUGGGCGUAAAGGGUGCGUAGGUGGUCUCGCAAGUCUGAUGUGAAAUCUCCGGGCUUAACCCGGAAAUGGCAUUGGAAACUGCGGGGCUAGAGUGUUGGAGGGGGGACUGGAAUUCUCGGUGUAGCGGUGAAAUGCGUAGAUAUCGAGAGGAACACCUGCGGCGAAGGCGGGUUGCUGGGCUGACACUGACGCUGAUGCGCGAAAGCCAGGGGAGCGAACGGG
Molecule: ribosomal RNA, 253 nt
Filed under: uncultured bacterium
Lineage: Bacteria
Description: partial 16S ribosomal RNA
Rfam family: Bacterial small subunit ribosomal RNA
Source: RNAcentral